RNAcentral lists this ribosomal RNA (493 nucleotides) under uncultured bacterium. Its description in RNAcentral is "bacterial SSU rRNA". It matches the Rfam family "Bacterial small subunit ribosomal RNA", at positions 28 to 510 of the family's 1533-position model. The record is from RNAcentral.
GAUGAACGCUAGCGGCAGGCCUAACACAUGCAAGUCGAGGGGCAGCGGGGAGUAGCAAUACUUUGCCGGCGACCGGCGCACGGGUGCGUAACGCGUAUGUGACCUACCUAUAACAGGGGGAUAACCCAGAGAAAUUUGGACUAAUACCCCCAUAUUAUUAUUGAGCUGCAUGGUUUGAUAAUGAAAGACGCGAGUUGGUUAUAGAUGGGCAUGCGUGACAUUAGCUAGUUGGUAAGGUAACGGCUUACCAAGGCGACGAUGUCUAGGGGAACUGAGAGGUUAAUCCCCCACACUGGUACUGAGACACGGACCAGACUCCUACGGGAGGCAGCAGUGAGGAAUAUUGGUCAAUGGUCGGAAGACUGAACCAGCCAUGCCGCGUGAAGGAAGAAUGUCCUAUGGAUUGUAAACUUCUUUUUGUAAGGGAGCAAUAAGUUCCAUGCGUGGGAUGAUGAGAGUACCUUACGAAUAAGCAUCGGCUAACUCCGUGCCA